GACGAACGCUGGCGGCGUGCUUAACACAUGCAAGUCGAACGGAAAGGCCCUGCUUUUGUGGGGUGCUCGAGUGGCGAACGGGUGAGUAACCCGUGAGUAACCUGCCCUUUACUCUGGGAUAAUUUCAGGAAGCUGUGGCUACUACCGGAUAGGAGCUCCUGCUUCUUGGUGUGGGUCGGAACGUUUCGGCGGAUUGGGAUGGACUCGCGGCUUAUCAGGUUGUUGGUGGGGUAGUGGCUUACCAAGGCUUUGACGGGUAGCCGGCCUGAGAGGGUGACCGGCCACAUUGGGACUGAGAUACGGCCCAGACUCCUACGGGAGGCAGCAGUGGGGAAUAUUGCACAAUGGGCGGAAGCCUGAUGCAGCAACGCCGCGUGCGGGAUGACGGCCUUCGGGUUGUAAACCGCUUUCGCCUGUGACGAAGCGUGAGUGACGGUAAUGGGUAAAGAAGCACCGGCUAACUACGUG
RNAcentral lists this ribosomal RNA (468 nucleotides) under uncultured bacterium. RNAcentral describes it as "partial 16S ribosomal RNA". It matches the Rfam family "Bacterial small subunit ribosomal RNA", at positions 28 to 507 of the family's 1533-position model. The record is from RNAcentral.